CUCGCAAGAGUGAACGAGCUAACUGAAAGAAUAUAUAAUCUAAAGUUAGGAAUCUUAUAAUUUUUAUUAUAAGUUUAAAGACGAAUCUAACUAACAGUGUCGUCCAAAUUCUGGUGCCAGAAGACUCGGUAAUACCAGAGACGCGAACGUUAAUCAUCUUGAAUGGGCAUAAAGGGUUUGUAGGCGGCUUAUUUAUUAAUAGGCUAGAAUCUUAGAGAGGUUAAUAAAAUACUUAGAGGAGGGCUGAUAUCCUUAGAUCCUAAGUGGAAUCCUAAUUGCGAAGGCCAUUUUCCACUACAGAUUGACGCUGAGACACGAAGGUUAGGAUAGGAACUAGGAUUAGAGACCCUAUUACCCCUAACUGUAAACGAUGAAUGGCAGAUAUUUACAACUGUAAGUGUCGAAGUGAAUACGAUAACCAUUCCGCCUUGCCAGUAUACUUGCAAAAGUGAAAACAAAAAAAUUAGUCGGUCCUAAAGCAAACG
RNAcentral lists this ribosomal RNA (485 nucleotides) under Cantharellus lateritius. RNAcentral's name for it is "SSU rRNA". It matches the Rfam family "Bacterial small subunit ribosomal RNA", at positions 374 to 931 of the family's 1533-position model. Lineage: Eukaryota; Fungi; Basidiomycota; Agaricomycetes; Cantharellales; Hydnaceae. The record is from RNAcentral.